UUGAGUUUUAUUCUUUAGAGUGCUUUUCUUGAUAUUUAAAUGGGUAGGGGAGGGCUUCUUCACAAGGUAGGAUCUGCUCUGCCCUUUUCGGGUUGGGGAUGUCCAAGUUGAAUCUGGGAGCUGCCUUUGACCAUGGGGAUUCUGGAACACAUGAAUGAAUGAAUCCGAGGGGACUGACUGCCCCGAGCAGGGUUGAAGAAGUUAGUUGGCAGCCACAGAAGAACUACUGUAGGCGUGUACAUAAAUGAUACAAAAGAACAAGCAUUAGACUGGAGAAGCAUUGACCGGGAAUGGCCCAGGAAAUGAUCAGGAAGAGAAAGGGGACUCAUGGUGUUAUCUGAUGCUGCCAUCAGUGUACACUGGGAGAUUUAUGUUAUUUUGCAGCCAUGCAGCAAAAGCCUCCUGUCUCUUUAUUAACCUGUGUGAACCUUUUUAUUUAUUUAAAAUCAAAUCACAAAUAAAAGCAAAAUAAAGA
Long non-coding RNA from Monodelphis domestica (gray short-tailed opossum), 475 nucleotides. RefSeq lists it as uncharacterized. The record is from RefSeq and is a predicted model, not a curated record. NCBI's taxonomy places the organism in Eukaryota, Metazoa, Chordata, Mammalia, Didelphimorphia, Didelphidae.